RNAcentral lists this transfer RNA (86 nucleotides) under Candidatus Methanomethylophilus alvi Mx1201. RNAcentral describes it as "tRNA-Leu (CAA) (tRNA-Leu-CAA-1-1)". It matches the Rfam family "tRNA". Rfam says of the family: Transfer RNA (tRNA) molecules are approximately 80 nucleotides in length. Their secondary structure includes four short double-helical elements and three loops (D, anti-codon, and T loops). Further hydrogen bonds mediate the characteristic L-shaped molecular structure. tRNAs have two regions of fundamental functional importance: the anti-codon, which is responsible for specific mRNA codon recognition, and the 3' end, to which the tRNAs corresponding amino acid is attached (by aminoacyl-tRNA synthetases). tRNAs cope with the degeneracy of the genetic code in two manners: having more than one tRNA (with a specific anti-codon) for a particular amino acid; and 'wobble' base-pairing, i.e. permitting non-standard base-pairing at the 3rd anti-codon position. RNAcentral also lists the same sequence under 3 other names. The record is from RNAcentral. Lineage: Archaea; Methanobacteriati; Thermoplasmatota; Thermoplasmata; Methanomassiliicoccales; Methanomethylophilaceae.
GCCGACGUAGCCGAGCUGGCCAAAGGCGGCAGACUCAAGAUCUGUUCCCUAGCGGUUCACCGGUUCGAAUCCGGUCGUCGGCACCA